Culex quinquefasciatus (southern house mosquito) is the source of this 354-nucleotide long non-coding RNA. RefSeq lists it as uncharacterized. The record is from RefSeq and is a predicted model, not a curated record. The transcript has 3 exons. Lineage: Eukaryota; Metazoa; Arthropoda; Insecta; Diptera; Culicidae.
CGAUUUACCUUCAAUUCGACGUCGAUUAUCGUCGACGCAAACAGUUUGACAGUUCUCUUCAGUUGAUCUUGUUCGGACUUGAUCAAAUCAGAAAAACAAUAUUGUUGUAAAGGUUCGUGAGGAUUUUGGCUGGUUGAUUGAUUUCCUGAUUUCAGCCUUCGCGACGGUGGAAGAGAACGUGAAACAUCGUUAACCCGGCGGAUCAUGCCGGAAGAUGGGACGGGAAGGAACCGGUCUGCGAUCGAAAGCGGAUUGGGAUCUGUAUCAAACAGUCUCCAAACAGGACAAUGAAAGUGUUGGUGGUGUUUGAUUUUUAGAGAAUGUCAAAAUCGCCAUUAUCAAUACUAAGACCUG